GAAUGCUGGGAUGAGACGGCUUCAGUUCAGAAGUAGAGUUGGUGAAUAGUGGGAGAGGCCCUGGGGCUGCCUGCCAUGGUAGUUAGAAAUGUUGAAUAUUCGCGUUCUGAGGAUGAAGGCACAGACUAGGAAGUUUGCACAAGGUCACCAGGUUGCUGGUGGCCCCCUUUCUAGCUUUGCUCUUGGAACCGAAGACAGCAUGCUGCUGAAAAAAAUCCAUUUAAAUGAUGCUAAAUGAAUUUUGUCAACCUUUGGAAGGAAAACACAAAGUGCAGCUUUCGGGAUGUGAUUGUGUUUAAAGAGAUGUUCUCUGAAAUACAGACGUGCCCCAGUGAGGGGUGAAUUUAUCUGAGUCCUUCCCAGGUUAUAUCAAGCAGACAGACCUUUCAGAAUGAGGGAUCUGGCCCCAAAAACCCUGGGACUGUGCCACCGGGGGUAAACCUUUGGGAACAGGGACAUGGCCUACAAAAAGGAAUCAUCACCCAGAUCUUGGAUCAAGGCAGCUGUGGCAAAUGGCAUUUCAAUAAAU
Lutra lutra (Eurasian river otter) is the source of this 529-nucleotide long non-coding RNA. RefSeq lists it as uncharacterized. NCBI's taxonomy places the organism in Eukaryota, Metazoa, Chordata, Mammalia, Carnivora, Mustelidae. The record is from RefSeq and is a predicted model, not a curated record. The transcript has 3 exons.